UUAUCAGUGAGGUUAAUCCUUACCUGUUUCUCUUGGAGAAACAGAUGUGAUGAAUGUAGGAGGCUGAGUGUGUGAUUACAUCAAUUCUCUGCACCACCCUGUAUGAUAACUUGGGGUGUGUGACAUUCUGAA
This is a small nucleolar RNA of Hyla sarda, 132 nucleotides long. RefSeq annotates it as U8 small nucleolar RNA. The record is from RefSeq and is a predicted model, not a curated record. NCBI's taxonomy places the organism in Eukaryota, Metazoa, Chordata, Amphibia, Anura, Hylidae. The transcript has a single exon.